Molecule: ribosomal RNA, 536 nt
Filed under: uncultured marine eukaryote
Lineage: Eukaryota
Description: SSU rRNA
Rfam family: Eukaryotic small subunit ribosomal RNA
Source: RNAcentral
AGUAGUCAUAUGCUUGUCUCAAAGAUUAAGCCAUGCAUGUCUAAGUACAAGCCUAACUAAGGUGAAACCGCGAAUGGCUCAUUAAAUCACACCUAAUCUACAGUUAUGUUCCUGUUACUUGGAUAACUGCGGUAAUUCUGGAGCUAAUACAUGCGAAAAAGCCUCAACUUACGGCGAGGCGCUUUUAUUAGACCAAAACCAAACGGUUCUUCCGUUACUCUGGUGAUUCUGAAUAACUUUGUGCAGAUCGUACGGACUCGUUCCGACGACAAUAACUUCGAAGGUGUGCCCUAUCAACUGUCGACUGUGGUAUAGACGUCCACAGUGGUUUUGACGGGUAACGGGGAAUUAGGGUUCGAUUCCGGAGAGGGAGCCUGAGAAACGGCUACCACUUCUAAGGAAGGCAGCAGGCACGCAAAUUACCCAAUGGUCGAAGACCGAGGUAGUGACGAAAAAUAACGAUACCGGACUCAUCCGAGGCCCGGUAAUCGGAAUGAGUACACUUUAAAUCCUUUAACAAGGAACAAUUGGAGGGC